GACGAACGCUGGCGGCGUGCUUAACACAUGCAAGUCGAACGGAAAGGCCCUGCUUUUGUGGGGUGCUCGAGUGGCGAACGGGCGAGUAACACGUGAGUAACCUGCCCUUGACUUUGGGAUAACUUCAGGAAACUGGGGCUAAUACCGGAUAGGAGCUCCUGCUGCAUGGUGGGGGUUGGAAAGUUUCGGCGGUUGGGGAUGGACUCGCGGCUUAUCAGCUUGUUGGUGGGGUAGUGGCUUACCAAGGCUUUGACGGGUAGCCGGCCUGAGAGGGUGACCGGCGACAUUGGGACUGAGAGACGGCCCAGACUCCUACGGGAGGCAGCAGUGGGGAAUAUUGCACAAUGGGCGGAAGCCUGAUGCAGCAACGCCGCGUGCGGGAUGACGGCCUUCGGGUUGUAAACCGCUUUCGCCUGUGACGAAGCGUGAGUGACGGUAAUGGGUAAAGAAGCACCGGCUAACUACGUG
RNAcentral lists this ribosomal RNA (468 nucleotides) under uncultured bacterium. Its description in RNAcentral is "partial 16S ribosomal RNA". It matches the Rfam family "Bacterial small subunit ribosomal RNA", at positions 28 to 507 of the family's 1533-position model. The record is from RNAcentral.